AGUGAACGCUGGCGGUAGGCCUAACACAUGCAAGUCGAACGGCAGCACAGUAAGAGCUUGCUCUUACGGGUGGCGAGUGGCGGACGGGUGAGGAAUACAUCGGAAUCUACUUUUUCGUGGGGGAUAACGUAGGGAAACUUACGCUAAUACCGCAUACGACCUACGGGUGAAAGCAGGGGAUCUUCGGACCUUGCGCGACUGAAUGAGCCGAUGUCGGAUUAGCUAGUUGGCGGGGUAAAGGCCCACCAAGGCGACGAUCCGUAGCUGGUCUGAGAGGAUGAUCAGCCACACUGGAACUGAGACACGGUCCAGACUCCUACGGGAGGCAGCAGUGGGGAAUAUUGGACAAUGGGCGCAAGCCUGAUCCAGCCAUACCGCGUGGGUGAAGAAGGCCUUCGGGUUGUAAAGCCCUUUUGUUGGGAAAGAACAGCAGCAGGUUAAUACCCCGCUGUUCUGACGGUACCCAAAGAAUAAGCACCGGCUAACUUCGUG
This 492-nucleotide ribosomal RNA is filed under the name uncultured bacterium. RNAcentral's name for it is "partial 16S ribosomal RNA". It matches the Rfam family "Bacterial small subunit ribosomal RNA", at positions 29 to 507 of the family's 1533-position model. The record is from RNAcentral.